This 484-nucleotide ribosomal RNA is filed under the name uncultured bacterium. RNAcentral's name for it is "bacterial SSU rRNA". It matches the Rfam family "Bacterial small subunit ribosomal RNA", at positions 30 to 507 of the family's 1533-position model. The record is from RNAcentral.
AUUGAACGCUAGCGGCAUGCCUUACACAUGCAAGUCGAACGGCAGCGGGCUCUUCGGAGUGCCGGCGAGUGGCGAACGGGUGAGUAAUACAUCGGAACAUACCCUAUAGUGGGGGAUAGCUCGGCGAAAGCCGAAUUAAUACCGCAUACGACCUACGGGUNAAAGGGGGGGAUCGUAAGACCUCUCGCUAUUGGAGUGGCCGAUGGCUGAUUAGCUUGUUGGUGGGGUAAAAGCCUACCAAGGCUACGAUCAGUAGCUGGUCUGAGAGGACGACCAGCCACACUGGGACUGAGACAUGGCCCAGACUCCUACGGGAGGCAGCAGUGGGGAAUCUUGGACAAUGGGCGAAAGCCUGAUCCAGCAAUGCCGCGUGUGCGAAGAAGGCCUUCGGGUUGUAAAGCACUUUUGUCAGGGAAGAAAUUGCUUAAGUUAAUACCUUGAGUCGUUGACGGUACCUGAAGAAUAAGCACCGGCUAACUACGUG